UACGUAGGUGGCAAGCGUUGUCCGGAAUUAUUGGGCGUAAAGCGCGCGCAGGCGGUCCUUUAAGUCUGAUGUGAAAGCCCACGGCUCAACCGUGGAGGGUCAUUGGAAACUGGGGGACUUGAGUGCAGGAGAGAAGAGUGGAAUUCCACGUGUAGCGGUGAAAUGCGUAGAGAUGUGGAGGAACACCAGUGGCGAAGGCGGCAUCCUGGCCCUAUCCUGACGCUGAGGCGCGAGAGCGUGGGGAGCAAACCGG
RNAcentral lists this ribosomal RNA (253 nucleotides) under uncultured bacterium. RNAcentral's name for it is "partial 16S ribosomal RNA". It matches the Rfam family "Bacterial small subunit ribosomal RNA", at positions 524 to 776 of the family's 1533-position model. The record is from RNAcentral.